RNAcentral lists this ribosomal RNA (274 nucleotides) under uncultured bacterium. RNAcentral describes it as "partial 16S ribosomal RNA". It matches the Rfam family "Bacterial small subunit ribosomal RNA", at positions 523 to 796 of the family's 1533-position model. The record is from RNAcentral.
AUACGGAGGGUGCAAGCGUUGUUCGGAAUUACUGGGCGUAAAGCCCGCGUAGGCGGUCUGUUAUGUCAGAUGUGAAAGUCCUCGGUUCAACCGGGGAAGUGCAUUUGAAACUGGCAGACUUGAGUACUGGAGGGGGUGGUGGAAUUCCCGGUGUAGAGGUGAAAUUCGUAGAUAUCGGGAGGAAUACCGGUGGCGAAGGCGACCACCUGGCCAGAUACUGACGCUGAGGUGCGAAAGCGUGGGGAGCAAACAGGAUUAGAAACCCUAGUAGUCC